GCCCGCGUAGCUCAACAGGCAGAGCAGCCGCCUUGUAAGCGGCCUGUUGCAGGUUCGAGUCCUGUCGCGGGCU
Molecule: transfer RNA, 73 nt
Organism: Alicyclobacillus acidocaldarius subsp. acidocaldarius DSM 446
Lineage: Bacteria; Bacillati; Bacillota; Bacilli; Caryophanales; Alicyclobacillaceae
Rfam family: tRNA
About the family: Transfer RNA (tRNA) molecules are approximately 80 nucleotides in length.
Source: Rfam